GGAAGAAGGAAUCAGGAGGCAGAGCACAUGGUUAAAGCAUGAGAUGUGAAACCAGGAAGAACCAGGUCUGAACCUUAGCUCCACCAGUGGUAGCUUCAAACCUUGGUCCUUUCUGAGCCUGCUUCUUCAACCGUAAGGAACUCGGAAACGGGACCCAGAAAGUUGUUUUCUCAAGUGGAUGGAACAACACAAGCAAUCAGUAUCCUGAAACAGGCCCUGUUCCAACAAACUGACCCAGAAAGAGGUUAUACCAAUUAUCUCUCCAGCAAGUAUGAGGACUCCUGUUUCCCUACGUACUCACUACUACAGCAAAGAUAUCAAACAUUGAUACCCACCAAUCUCUGGAUGGAAAAACAAAUCUCAGGGGCCUCACUAUUUUACCCUGGCUGGUUUCGAACUUCUGGGCUCCAGCUACCCCCAAGCCUC
RNAcentral lists this long non-coding RNA (426 nucleotides) under Homo sapiens (human). Its description in RNAcentral is "novel transcript, antisense to IWS1". Lineage: Eukaryota; Metazoa; Chordata; Mammalia; Primates; Hominidae. The record is from RNAcentral.